Molecule: small RNA, 435 nt
Filed under: Pan troglodytes (chimpanzee)
Lineage: Eukaryota; Metazoa; Chordata; Mammalia; Primates; Hominidae
Description: retained intron
Source: RNAcentral
GGCUCGGGCCCGAAGUGGACGCUCGGGGCCCGACGAGGUCGCUGGGGCGGGCUGACCGCGCCCUUUCCUCGCAGUACAUCGCGGUGCACGUGGUCCCGGACCAGCUUAUGGCCUUCGGCGGCUCCAGCGAGCCGUGCGCGCUCUGCAGCCUGCACAGCAUCGGCAAGAUCGGCGGCGCGCAGAACCGCUCCUACAGCAAGCUGCUGUGCGGCCUGCUGGCCGAGCGCCUGCGCAUCAGCCCGGACAGGGUCUACAUCAACUAUUACGACAUGAACGCGGCCAAUGUGGGCUGGAACAACUCCACCUUCGCCUAAGAGCCAAAGGGACCCACGCUGUCUGCGCUGGCUCCACCCGGGAACCCGCCGCACGCUGUGUUCUAGGCCCGCCCACCCCAACCUUCUGGUGGGGAGAAAUAAACGGUUUAGAGACUAGGAG